GACUCUGGAGAGUCUCACAAUGAAGUGAGCGCCGAAGGUGUACGGAAGGCUUCCGCGGUUUUCCAAUCUCUCAGGCAAAAGGACAGGGCAU
Molecule: non-coding RNA, 91 nt
Filed under: human gut metagenome
Also listed under: 1 other name
Description: Glycine riboswitch
Rfam family: Glycine riboswitch aptamer
About the family: This family represents the bacterial glycine riboswitch. Glycine riboswitches usually consist of two metabolite-binding aptamers domains with similar structures in tandem.
Source: RNAcentral